GAUGAACGCUAGCUACAGGCUUAACACAUGCAAGUCGAGGGGCAGCAUUUCAGUUUGCUUGCAAACUGGAGAUGGCGACCGGCGCACGGGUGAGUAACACGUAUCCAACCUGCCGAUAACUCGGGGAUAGCCUUUCGAAAGAAAGAUUAAUACCCGAUGGUAUAAUCAGACCGCAUGGUCUUGUUAUUAAAGAAUUUCGGUUAUCGAUGGGGAUGCGUUCCAUUAGGCAGUUGGUGAGGUAACGGCUCACCAAACCUUCGAUGGAUAGGGGUUCUGAGAGGAAGGUCCCCCACAUUGGAACUGAGACACGGUCCAAACUCCUACGGGAGGCAGCAGUGAGGAAUAUUGGUCAAUGGGCGCAGGCCUGAACCAGCCAAGUAGCGUGAAGGAUGACUGCCCUAUGGGUUGUAAACUUCUUUUAUAUGGGAAUAAAGUUUUCCACGUGUGGAAUUUUGUAUGUACCAUAUGAAUAAGGAUCGGCUAACUCCGUGCCAGCAGCCGCGGUAAUACGGAGGAUCCGAGCGUUAUCCGGAUUUAUUGGGUUUAAAGGGAGCGUAGGUGGACAGUUAAGUCAGUUGUGAAAGUUUGCGGCUCAACCGUAAAAUUGCGGUUGAUACUGGCUGUCUUGAGUACAGUAGAGGUGGGCGGAAUUCGUGGUGUAGCGGUGAAAUGCUUAGAUAUCACGAAGAACUCCGAUUGCGAAGGCAGCUCACUGGACUGCAACUGACACUGAUGCUCGAAAGUGUGGGUAUCAAACAGGAUUAGAUACCCUGGUAGUCCACACAGUAAACGAUGAAUACUCGCUGUUUGCGAUAUACAGUAAGCGGCCAAGCGAAAGCAUUAAGUAUUCCACCUGGGGAGUACGCCGGCAACGGUGAAACUCAAAGGAAUUGACGGGGGCCCGCACAAGCGGAGGAACAUGUGGUUUAAUUCGAUGAUACGCGAGGAACCUUACCCGGGCUUAAAUUGCAUUUGAAUAUAUUGGAAACAGUAUAGCCGUAAGGCAAAUGUGAAGGUGCUGCAUGGUUGUCGUCAGCUCGUGCCGUGAGGUGUCGGCUUAAGUGCCAUAACGAGCGCAACCCUUAUCUUUAGUUACUAACAGGUCAUGCUGAGGACUCUAGAGAGACUGCCGUCGUAAGAUGUGAGGAAGGUGGGGAUGACGUCAAAUCAGCACGGCCCUUACGUCCGGGGCUACACACGUGUUACAAUGGGGGGUACAGAAGGCAGCUACCUGGUGACAGGAUGCUAAUCCCAAAAGCCUCUCUCAGUUCGGAUCGAAGUCUGCAACCCGACUUCGUGAAGCUGGAUUCGCUAGUAAUCGCGCAUCAGCCAUGGCGCGGUGAAUACGUUCCCGGGCCU
This 1359-nucleotide ribosomal RNA is filed under the name uncultured bacterium. Its description in RNAcentral is "bacterial SSU rRNA". It matches the Rfam family "Bacterial small subunit ribosomal RNA", at positions 28 to 1381 of the family's 1533-position model. The record is from RNAcentral.